This 253-nucleotide ribosomal RNA is filed under the name uncultured bacterium. RNAcentral describes it as "partial 16S ribosomal RNA". It matches the Rfam family "Bacterial small subunit ribosomal RNA", at positions 524 to 776 of the family's 1533-position model. The record is from RNAcentral.
UACGUAGGGUGCAAGCGUUGUCCGGAAUUAUUGGGCGUAAAGAGCUCGUAGGCGGUCUGUCACGUCGGCUGUGAAAACCCGAGGCUCAACCUCGGGCCUGCAGUCGAUACGGGCAGACUAGAGUUCGGUAGGGGAGACUGGAAUUCCUGGUGUAGCGGUGAAAUGCGCAGAUAUCAGGAGGAACACCGAUGGCGAAGGCAGGUCUCUGGGCCAUAACUGACGCUGAGAAGCGAAAGCAUGGGGAGCGAACAGG